GGCCUUGGCGGGGUGCUAUAAUGCAGUCGAGCGAACUGAUUAGAAGCUUGCUUCUAUGACGUUAGCGGCGGACGGGUGAGUAACACGUGGGCAACCUGCCUGUAAGACUGGGAUAACUUCGGGAAACCGAAGCUAAUACCGGAUAGGAUCUUCUCCUUCAUGGGAGAUGAUUGAAAGAUGGUUUCGGCUAUCACUUACAGAUGGGCCCGCGGUGCAUUAGCUAGUUGGUGAGGUAACGGCUCACCAAGGCAACGAUGCAUAGCCGACCUGAGAGGGUGAUCGGCCACACUGGGACUGAGACACGGCCCAGACUCCUACGGGAGGCAGCAGUAGGGAAUCUUCCGCAAUGGACGAAAGUCUGACGGAGCAACGCCGCGUGAGUGAUGAAGGCUUUCGGGUCGUAAAACUCUGUUGUUAGGGAAGAACAAGUACGAGAGUAACUGCUCGUACCUUGACGGUACCUAACCAGAAAGCCACGGCUAACUACGUGCCAGCAGCCGCGGUAAUACGUAGGUGGCAAGCGUUAUCCGGAAUUAUUGGGCGUAAAGCGCGCGCAGGCGGUUUCUUAAGUCUGAUGUGAAAGCCCACGGCUCAACCGUGGAGGGUCAUUGGAAACUGGGGAACUUGAGUGCAGAAGAGAAAAGCGGAAUUCCACGUGUAGCGGUGAAAUGCGUAGAGAUGUGGAGGAACACCAGUGGCGAAGGCGGCUUUUUGGUCUGUAACUGACGCUGAGGCGCGAAAGCGUGGGGAGCAACAGGAUUAGAUACCCUGGUAGUCCACGCCGUAAACGAUGAGUGCUAAGUGUUAGAGGGUUUCCGCCCUUUAGUGCUGCAGCUAACGCAUUAAGCACUCCGCCUGGGGAGUACGGUCGCAAGACUGAAACUCAAAGGAAUUGACGGGGGCCCGCACAAGCGGUGGAGCAUGUGGUUUAAUUCGAAGCAACGCGAAGAACCUUACCAGGUCUUGACAUCCUCUGACAACUCUAGAGAUAGAGCGUUCCCCUUCGGGGGA
RNAcentral lists this ribosomal RNA (1011 nucleotides) under Bacillus sp. (in: firmicutes). RNAcentral's name for it is "bacterial SSU rRNA". It matches the Rfam family "Bacterial small subunit ribosomal RNA", at positions 32 to 1028 of the family's 1533-position model. Lineage: Bacteria; Bacillati; Bacillota; Bacilli; Caryophanales; Bacillaceae. The record is from RNAcentral.